Molecule: long non-coding RNA, 1854 nt
Organism: Homo sapiens (human)
Lineage: Eukaryota; Metazoa; Chordata; Mammalia; Primates; Hominidae
Gene: DRAIC
Product: downregulated RNA in cancer, inhibitor of cell invasion and migration
Source: Ensembl
GGAGCUGGUUCCAGGAAAGAAGGGCACAUGAGCAAACAUGAUGGCCCCUUUAUGAGAGGUAAUUUACUGAAAUGCACAGCGAUUACCUGCUCACCCAGCCCUGAUGUAAUUAAAAAUGGCAGGCUAGGGGCUCUGUUUCCCCCGGCUCUGGCAGAGAAACCUGGGUUUCGACUUGUGAAGCUUGAGGUUGGAUGUGGGAAUUGGCUUGGAGUCAUAGGCGAUGAGAGGGACAUUAGGAUAUUAUGAAGCCCGUGAACUCAACUCCUGAGAAGGACGCAGCAGAGCGAGAGAAAAGAUGGAAUAAAAAGGCCUACCUCAUUGGGCUCGUGUGGGUGAGGAGAACUGAAGAGUCUGAGAGCGCGGCACGAGCCAGAGGCUACGGAAAACACUGCCCUCCUACACUCCACCUUGGAGAGACCCAGAAAAGAACAAGCUUCAUUUGUAAAAAAGGAAAACAACUCAGGCAAUGGGGGUGGCUUAAAGGCACUCUACAGUGUGCAGAUGCCUUCCACUUCUUCCAUCUGCCCUGUCUCUCCAAGAACCCCUAUGGCCCCGGUCUCAGAACAGAGCUGAGUGCAGAAAUGAAAAUCUAUGGCUCUGUGUUCCAAAACGAUGAAGAAUUUCAAGAUGGUGGCAGUGGUAAAAUCUUUCUCCAGGAAAAAUCUGUCCUUGGCCCAAUGUGUAAACACUUGCUGAGUAUUGUGAAACCAGCAACUUGUUCACAAUUCUUCUGAAUUUCUUGGGAAAUUUGAAGUGGAGUACCUGUACCAACAUGAAAUGACACGAAUUUAAGUGACGCUCAACAACGAAAAGCAAAAAGAACCAAAGAGGAAGCAACUGAAACAACAUCUGGAUGUAUUUAAAAAUAUACAAUGCCUCCAAAAUCAGGUGUCAUUAAUGAAAAUUCUGAAGAAAUGCCACCGGACAUAGCCAACGCACCUACGCUGUUGUUAUUCAUUUCCUGCUUUUCACAGAAAACAAUUUUGUUGCAUGGAAGAUCGUGAACUUCAAAGGGCAGAGGGGAAACUGUCCCUUGGCCUCUACCCCUCCAAGGCCCCACUUUUUUGUCAACACUCCUUGGACGCAGCAGAAGUAUGAACAUAAUAUGGUCCUGAAUGAGGCUGAGUCUUUGGGCGCAGAAGACCCGGGUUAAUAAAAAUAGGAAGGUAAGAAAAGAAAAGAAAAAUCAAGACACAUCAUAGGACUAAAUUCCUAUUAUUUAUCCACUCAGGAUUGACCACCCCUUUGGGCCAGAUAGUUGUACCCCCAUGUACCAGGUGGGCACAUGAAGACACAAGAAGUGCUGUGAUGGUUCAUUUUGCACGUCACCUUGCGUGGAGUAUGCCAACUCAUUGUUUGGUCAAACACUAGUCUGGACAUGGUGGUAAAGGUAUUUUUUAGAUGAGAUUAACACUUAAAUCAGUAAAGCAGGUUACCCACCAUACUACGGGUGGGCCCUGUCCAAUCAGUUGAAGGCAUUAAGAACAAAGAUUGAGGUUUCCUAAAGAAGAUGGAAUUCUCCUUGAGACUACAACAUAGAAACCCUAUCUGAGUUUCCAGCCUGUUGCCCUGUGGAAUUCAAACUCAGGACUCCGGUCUAUGACAUUAACCCUCACUUAACUUUUCAGCCUGCCAGCCUGCCCUAUGGAUUUCGGACUUGCCAGCCACACAAUUCCUUAAAAUAAAUCUCUCCGUCUCUGUCUGUUUCUCUCUGUCUAUAUACACACCUGCAUGCAUAUAUACAUAUAUAUAUGUAUGCAUCUAUAUAUUUAUAUCUAAUCUCGUAUUGCUUAUUGGUUCUGUUUCUCUGUAGAACUCUGCCUAAUACAGCUGAAGAUGUAUUCUCUUUAGAAA